This 513-nucleotide ribosomal RNA is filed under the name uncultured bacterium. RNAcentral describes it as "partial 16S ribosomal RNA". It matches the Rfam family "Bacterial small subunit ribosomal RNA", at positions 28 to 523 of the family's 1533-position model. The record is from RNAcentral.
GACGAACGCUGGCGGCAUGCCUAAUACAUGCAAGUCGAGCGAACAGAUGAAGUGCUUGCACUUCUGACGUUAGCGGCGAACGGGUGAGUAACACGUAAGGAAUCUACCUAUAAGCGGGGGAUAACAUUCGGAAACGGGUGCUGAUACCGCAUAAUAUCUUCUUCCGCAUGGAAGACGAUUGAAAGACGGCCCUGCUGUCACUUAUAGAUGACCUUGCGGUGCAUUAGUUAGUUGGUGGGGUAAUGGCCUACCAAGACGAUGAUGCAUAGCCGACCUGAGAGGGUGAUCGGCCACAUUGGGACUGAGACACGGCCCAAACUCCUACGGGAGGCAGCAGUAGGGAAUCUUCCGCAAUGGGCGAAAGCCUGACGGAGCAAUGCCGCGUGAGUGAAGAAGGCCUUCGGGUCGUAAAACUCUGUUAUAAGAGAAGAACAAAUUGUAGAGUAACUGCUACAGUCUUGACGGUAUCUUAUCAGAAAGCCACGGCUAACUACGUGCCAGCCGCCGCAGUAA